This 82-nucleotide transfer RNA is filed under the name Siphoviridae sp. ctTBR23. RNAcentral describes it as "tRNA-Gln". RNAcentral also lists the same sequence under 1 other name. The record is from RNAcentral. Lineage: Duplodnaviria; Heunggongvirae; Uroviricota; Caudoviricetes.
AGCUGGGUGGUGGAAUUGAUAGACACGCAGGACUUUGACUCCUGUGCUGUAAAGCGUGAGAGUUUGAACCUCUCCCCAGCUG